GCCGGAGUGGCGAAGCUGGUAGACGCAGGGGACUUAAAAUCCCCUUGGGCGCAAGCCCAGCGCGGGUUCGAGUCCCGCCUCCGGUA
This 86-nucleotide transfer RNA is filed under the name Myxococcales bacterium. Its description in RNAcentral is "tRNA-Leu". It matches the Rfam family "tRNA". Rfam says of the family: Transfer RNA (tRNA) molecules are approximately 80 nucleotides in length. Their secondary structure includes four short double-helical elements and three loops (D, anti-codon, and T loops). Lineage: Bacteria; Pseudomonadati; Myxococcota; Myxococcia; Myxococcales. The record is from RNAcentral.